GGCCUCGUAGCUCAGCUGGUAGGGCGUGCGCUGUACAAAAGCUGAGGCGGCGUUCGUGCGUGGGUUCAAAUCCCACCGAAGAUA
Molecule: transfer RNA, 84 nt
Filed under: Echinostoma caproni
Lineage: Eukaryota; Metazoa; Platyhelminthes; Trematoda; Plagiorchiida; Echinostomatidae
Rfam family: tRNA
About the family: Transfer RNA (tRNA) molecules are approximately 80 nucleotides in length.
Source: Rfam by way of RNAcentral